GACGAACGCUGGCGGCGUGCUUAACACAUGCAAGUCGAACGGAAAGGCCCUGCUUGCAGGGUGCUCGAGUGGCGAACGGGUGAGGAACACGUGGGUGAUCUGCCCCUUACUUUGGGAUAAGCCUGGGAAACUGGGUCUAAUACUGGAUAGGACCAUGCUGUAGGUGGUGUGGUGGAAAGAUUAGUUUCGGUAAGGGAUGAGCUCGCGGCCUAUCAGCUUGUUGGUGGGGUAAUGGCCUACCAAGGCGUCGACGGGUAGCCGGCCUGAGAGGGUGGACGGCCACAUUGGGACUGAGAUACGGCCCAGACUCCUACGGGAGGCAGCAGUGGGGAAUAUUGCACAAUGGGCGCAAGCCUGAUGCAGCGACGCCGCGUGGGGGAUGACGGCCUUCGGGUUGUAAACUCCUUUCAGCCAUGACGAAGCCCUUGUGGUGACGGUAGUGGUAGAAGAAGCACCGGCUAACUACGUG
RNAcentral lists this ribosomal RNA (469 nucleotides) under uncultured bacterium. RNAcentral describes it as "partial 16S ribosomal RNA". It matches the Rfam family "Bacterial small subunit ribosomal RNA", at positions 28 to 507 of the family's 1533-position model. The record is from RNAcentral.